GAUGAACGCUAGCGGCAGGCCUAACACAUGCAAGUCGAGGGGCAGCACGUAAAGUAGUUUACUACUUUUGGUGGCGACCGGCGCACGGGUGCGUAACGCGUAUGCAACCUACCUUAAACAGGGGGAUAAUUCGGAGAAAUCUGGUCUAAUACCCCAUAACAUCAGAGAAGGCAUCUUCUUUGGUUAAAAACUCCGGUGGUUUAAGAUGGGCAUGCGUUGUAUUAGUUAGUUGGUGAGGUAACGGCUCACCAAGACUACGAUACAUAGGGGGACUGAGAGGUUAACCCCCCACACUGGUACUGAGACACGGACCAGACUCCUACGGGAGGCAGCAGUGAGGAAUAUUGGUCAAUGGGCGCAAGCCUGAACCAGCCAUGCCGCGUGCAGGAAGACGGCUCUAUGAGUUGUAAACUGCUUUUGUACGAGGGUAACCCCGGAUACGUGUAUCCGGCUGAAAGUACCGUACGAAUAAGGAUCGGCUAACUCCGUG
RNAcentral lists this ribosomal RNA (490 nucleotides) under uncultured bacterium. Its description in RNAcentral is "bacterial SSU rRNA". It matches the Rfam family "Bacterial small subunit ribosomal RNA", at positions 28 to 507 of the family's 1533-position model. The record is from RNAcentral.